AGCGAACGUUAGCGGCGCGCCUAACACAUGCAAGUCGUACGAGAAAGGGCUUCGGCCCCGGUAAAGUGGCGCACGGGUGCGUAACACGUAGGUAAUCUUCCCUCGAGCGGUGGAUAACUUCUCGAAAGGGACGCUAAUACCGCAUAAGACCACGGCCGGUUCGCCGGACGCGGUCAAAGCUGGCCUCUGCAUGCAAGCUAGCACUUGAGGAUGAGCCUGCGGCCUAUCAGCUAGUUGGUAAGGUAACGGCUUACCAAGGCUACGACGGGUAGCUGGUCUGAGAGGAUGAUCAGCCACACUGGUACUGAAACACGGGCCAGACUCCUACGGGAGGCUG
This 337-nucleotide ribosomal RNA is filed under the name uncultured Pseudomonadota bacterium. Its description in RNAcentral is "bacterial SSU rRNA". It matches the Rfam family "Bacterial small subunit ribosomal RNA", at positions 29 to 351 of the family's 1533-position model. The record is from RNAcentral. Lineage: Bacteria; Pseudomonadati; Pseudomonadota.